CCGUAGCUGGGAUGCGCGCCAGGUGAGCAGAUCUCUGGGGCCAUAAGACUCUUCUUGGGAGUUGCCGCUGCCGGAGCCGUGGUUCUGGUAUUGUGACGCCCACCUGCUUUCGCAGGCCACAGAAGAUUGUCAAUACCAGCGGCAUUCUGGCUACGCU
Molecule: non-coding RNA, 157 nt
Filed under: Alphaproteobacteria bacterium
Lineage: Bacteria; Pseudomonadati; Pseudomonadota; Alphaproteobacteria
Description: 6S RNA
Rfam family: 6S / SsrS RNA
About the family: E. coli 6S RNA was the first non coding RNA to be sequenced, but its function was unknown until recently. It consists of 184 nucleotides that fold into an extended hairpin structure with a large single-stranded internal bulge.
Source: RNAcentral